This is a non-coding RNA of Lolium perenne, 550 nucleotides long. Lineage: Eukaryota; Viridiplantae; Streptophyta; Magnoliopsida; Poales; Poaceae. The record is from RefSeq and is a predicted model, not a curated record.
UAAUAGUGAGUGAACUUGCUGGGCAAGUGUGGCUCUAAUUGAAUAAACAACAAUAGAAAAAUGGGAAGGGAUGUCAAUGCGCACCUAAUUUCAGUUUAAUUUAUACUUUGUGAUAUUCUUUUUUUAAUCACUGUAUGCUUUAGACAACAUCUCCAUACUAACAAUGUUAAAUUCUAGGAGUCCUCCAUGACUGUUGAUGCACAUCGCUGAUGUUCUCUUCAUUCCCCGGAUAGUAGCAUCAAUUAAGGCAUUCUGUUCUUUUGCUUCCUCCAAAGCAACAGACAUGGAAGUCAAGCUCUCAGUCAGCGUAGUUACAGCUCUUCAUUGAACUUGACUCGCUUUUGAACUCCAAGAUCAGCAAUUCUUGGCGGGUUGCACUUUUACGUGAACUAGUUGUUGGUAAAACUGAUUGUAAUUGCAAGAGUGAUUCUACUUAUUUUGCUUAAUUUAAUUGGUACUCAUUCUGCUGUCAAAUAAUUUGAAAUGUAAUAUUUCAGUCCGUUUGUAAACUGGGUUUAGCCAAUUUUACUCCUAGGCAUUGGUUUACUCA